CUUGGCCUCAGGUGAGAUGAGGGCUCAUGGCCCUGAUGCCCUCCUCUCCUCCUUCCUCAG
This 60-nucleotide microRNA precursor is filed under the name Pongo abelii (Sumatran orangutan). RNAcentral's name for it is "miRNA". Lineage: Eukaryota; Metazoa; Chordata; Mammalia; Primates; Hominidae. The record is from RNAcentral.